GUUCAUAUAGUUUAAAAAACAUUUUAUUUUCAUUAAAAAAAAGGAACAAAUAAGAGCCUAUGAAUA
Molecule: transfer RNA, 66 nt
Filed under: Trifida elongata
Lineage: Eukaryota; Metazoa; Arthropoda; Insecta; Hemiptera; Cicadellidae
Description: tRNA-Glu
Source: RNAcentral